UACGGAGGAUCCAAGCGUUAUCCGGAAUCAUUGGGUUUAAAGGGUCCGUAGGCGGGCCUGUAAGUCAGUGGUGAAAUCCGGCGGCUUAACCGUCGAACUGCCAUUGAUACUGCAGGCCUUGAAUUUCCGGGAAGUGACUAGAAUAUGUAGUGUAGCGGUGAAAUGCUUAGAGAUUACAUGGAAUACCGAUUGCGAAGGCAGGUCACUACCGGUGGAUUGACGCUGAUGGACGAAAGCGUGGGGAGCGAACAGGAUUAGAUACCCUGGUAGUCCACGCCGUAAACGAUGGAUACUAGCUGUCGGGAGUAAUCUCGGUGGCUAAGCGAAAGUGAUAAGUAUCCCACCUGGGGAGUACGAACGCAAGUUUGAA
This 370-nucleotide ribosomal RNA is filed under the name uncultured bacterium. Its description in RNAcentral is "bacterial SSU rRNA". It matches the Rfam family "Bacterial small subunit ribosomal RNA", at positions 524 to 898 of the family's 1533-position model. The record is from RNAcentral.